GCCGCUCCCAGGCUCCUCCGGACUCCGCGCACCCUCCUGGGAUUGUCUCGGAGGGGACCGCGCCGUGCAGGCCAUUGGUCACGUGGGUCACGAGGUGAGGGGCAAAUACUUGCCAUCCUGAAAGCAGCCUGGUGCAGAGAAGGUGGAGAGGAGUGCUGGGCUCAGCCAGGAAGGACCCCAAAAAGCCCUCUGGAGCGCUUCCAGACGGAGCAGUCAAACGCCAUGGAGGUGGUGCUGCUCUUCCUGUGUGGCCUGCUGGCCCCGGCGGUCCUGGCCAAUGCAGCUGAGCAGGAGAAAGAAAAGGACCCUUUUCAUUACGACUACCAGACCCUGAGGAUCGGGGGAUUGGUGUUUGCUGUGGUCCUCUUCUCGGUGGGGAUCCUGCUUAUCCUAAGUCGCAGAUGCAAGUGCACUUUUAACCAGAAGCCGCGGGCUCCAGGGGACGAGGAGGCCCAGGUGGAGAACCUCGUCACCGCAAAUGCAACGGAGCCCCAGAAAGCAGAGAACUGAAGUGCAGCCCUCAGGCACAAAGAACCUGAAGGCAGCUGCUUGAACCUUUAGAUGCAAAUGCUGAUGCUUAAGAAAACCGGCCACUUCAGCAACAGAUCUUUCCCCAGGAGAAGCCAAGAACUUGUGUGUCCCCCACCCUCUCCCCAACCCCUCGACACCUGUCCUCAACUUAAUGAUGCAACCCCUGCCCCUCUGCAGCCUGUGGUCUCGUCCAACUCCUGUGACGUGUGUCUGUGUGUGUGUGUGUGUGUGUGUGUGUGUCUGAUGACUGUGGUCUUCGUGGCUGCUUGUUCGUGGAUGACACUGUAUUUUAGUGAACCUGGCCCCACUUUCCUGGGCAGGAGCUCAGCCAUGUGGCUGUCAGCUCGUCUCUGCUCUCCAUGGCCCCAUCACCUUCCACUCCUGGGAGUCUGCUUUGUCCCUAAGAGACCAGUUCCUUCUCUUGAUUGAGGGGUGGAUGGAGGGGUUGGGCACGGGCGGGAGUCUCUGAUUGGCUUGGGACUUGGGAAGGUUUACAUCACCUUCGUGAUCCUUCUACAUGGCCCGUCUUCACUCCUUUUAUAAGAACCUUGCUUCCACAUUUGUCCCUGGACCAAGUCUGUUCUGAGGUCCCUUGGCAGUGGGAGGUUCCCAGCAAGGAGCUGAUGAGCCCGCUUUGCCCUCGGGCAGCUACACCCCUUCCCUGGUGCCCAUCUGCCCCACCUCACUCUGCCCCUGGGGAACGUGCCCCUUGCAUAUCUUCUCAGCAAUAACCCCGUGGGCUCUGGAACCCUACUCCCUUCUCCAGCCUUCCCUGCUCCCAAGACGCCCAUCUCUAGCCCAGCUCAUCUGGACUCAGACUCCUGUCCCUGACCUGGGGCUCUGGCAGGUGAUGGCUGAAGGGGUGCAUUCAGCUGGGGCCAGUGCUCUGGGGAGGGGCAGCUUGGAGAGCAGGGGUCCUUUGCUUCUCUGUCCACAUCCCAUUGGCCAGGCAGCAGCGGGGGCGCCUGCACCCUCUGCUCGCCUGUCACUGGCCAGAACGGCAAGUACAGCGGCUGUGCUGCGGGUUAGGGACCCGGCAGGGCUCCGCGCAGCCCUGCUGCAGGGGGAAUGGCACGAGGUCGAAGCUGGUGAAGAGAGUGGAAAAUCAGACCCCGCCCCUCCCACUCAUCGUGUUCUCGUGGAAACUAACCAAACCGUGCCGCUGUGACCAGGACUGCUGUUCUCUGUGUCGUGAUCGCUCCUCAACAACGACGAAAGGAAUAAAAUACCACUUGUUUCCUAGU
Molecule: long non-coding RNA, 1775 nt
Organism: Balaenoptera musculus (blue whale)
Lineage: Eukaryota; Metazoa; Chordata; Mammalia; Artiodactyla; Balaenopteridae
Source: Ensembl